RNAcentral lists this ribosomal RNA (487 nucleotides) under Salmonella enterica subsp. enterica serovar Paratyphi B. Its description in RNAcentral is "bacterial SSU rRNA". It matches the Rfam family "Bacterial small subunit ribosomal RNA", at positions 1028 to 1515 of the family's 1533-position model. Lineage: Bacteria; Pseudomonadati; Pseudomonadota; Gammaproteobacteria; Enterobacterales; Enterobacteriaceae. The record is from RNAcentral.
CGUGAGACAGGUGCUGCAUGGCUGUCGUCAGCUCGUGUUGUGAAAUGUUGGGUUAAGUCCCGCAACGAGCGCAACCCUUAUCCUUUGUUGCCAGCGAUUCGGUCGGGAACUCAAAGGAGACUGCCAGUGAUAAACUGGAGGAAGGUGGGGAUGACGUCAAGUCAUCAUGGCCCUUACGACCAGGGCUACACACGUGCUACAAUGGCGCAUACAAAGAGAAGCGACCUCGCGAGAGCAAGCGGACCUCAUAAAGUGCGUCGUAGUCCGGAUUGGAGUCUGCAACUCGACUCCAUGAAGUCGGAAUCGCUAGUAAUCGUGGAUCAGAAUGCCACGGUGAAUACGUUCCCGGGCCUUGUACACACCGCCCGUCACACCAUGGGAGUGGGUUGCAAAAGAAGUAGGUAGCUUAACCUUCGGGAGGGCGCUUACCACUUUGUGAUUCAUGACUGGGGUGAAGUCGUAACAAGGUAACCGUAGGGGAACCUGC